RNAcentral lists this long non-coding RNA (970 nucleotides) under Panax ginseng (ginseng). RNAcentral's name for it is "long non-coding RNA (PGIN_LNC013225)". The record is from RNAcentral. Lineage: Eukaryota; Viridiplantae; Streptophyta; Magnoliopsida; Apiales; Araliaceae.
CCUAUACUAUGACUGAUCAAUUAAAUAAUAAAUAAACUUAGGUAGGUCAUACUAGUGAAGGAAUUCCUCGUCUCUCCCCUCCUAGUUCUUGUCUCAUAUCUCAGCCAGUGAUCAUAUCCCUAAGCUUUGAUACCAACUGUGACGCCCCCAAAAUAUGUAUACAUCACCCAUCUUGAGUCGUCAAAUACAUGGUACAAAAUUCAAAUACAACCUAAAUAUACAACAGUCGUGUAAAAUAUGACAAAACAUAAUCUAAAAGUUUCAAUAAGAAUAUUGUCAUCUAGACAAUAUCCACACUCAAUGGAGUCCUCAUUACAUUUAUUAUCACACUAUUUUAUAGAAUAGUGAGGACUACUAAAACAACCAUCUGGACCGUCAAUCCGUUCCCCGACUCGUCCCAGCUAUAUUCUCAUUUCCUGAAGAGAACAAUAAAAGAAAGGGUGAGCUCAACUAACCCAGUAAGAAAUAUUAUGACUAAGAUAAUGCAGAAUAAAUUAUCCUUAGCCUUCAACAGUAUAACAACUGAUAGAAUAUAAUAGUCAACAAGUAUUAGAUCAACAACUGUAGCGGAAUAAGCAAUCCAUUAGAAGAGUCAAGUAGAGCAUAAAAUCAACUAUCUUCUAUGAUUUAAAAAGUUUUCCAUCAACUUUAUCGCUGAGACUCAGCUUAAUAAAUAAAACCGAAUUAUCCCUGCACCACGACUAAGGAUAUUCAUGUAAUCAUCAAUGGUCAUGAUUAUACCAAAUAAUUUCUGGUUGUAAUCAUACCAACAACUGUCCAUCAAUGAACUGUAGACCAAUGAGGACUUUUACCACAUCAUUCGUUACAUUACGGUCAUGAUUAUACCAAAUAAUCCCUGGUCAUAAUCAUACUAAGUUCAUCUAUGCACGUAAGCCAAAGAUGACUUUCAUCACAAUAUAAGCAUGAGGAUGAUGACAAUGACAUGAUAAUUCAAUAAAACAAGUUCAAG